This 200-nucleotide ribosomal RNA is filed under the name uncultured bacterium. RNAcentral's name for it is "partial 16S ribosomal RNA". It matches the Rfam family "Bacterial small subunit ribosomal RNA", at positions 328 to 539 of the family's 1533-position model. The record is from RNAcentral.
ACGCUCGACACCUACGGGAGCAGCAGUGGGGAAUAUUGGGCAAUGGGCGCAAGCCUGACCCAGCAACGCCGCGUGAAGGAAGAAGGCCCUCGGGUUGUAAACUUCUUUUGUCAGGGACGAAGCAAGUGACGGUACCUGACGAAUAAGCCACGGCUAACUACGUGCCGACAGCCGCGGUAAUCUGAGCGGGCUGGCAAGGC